Molecule: unclassified non-coding RNA, 265 nt
Filed under: fungal sp.
Lineage: Eukaryota; Fungi
Description: partial internal transcribed spacer region
Rfam family: Eukaryotic small subunit ribosomal RNA (bases 1-46)
Source: RNAcentral
AAGUCGUAACAAGGUUUCCGUAGGUGAACCUGCGGAAGGAUCAUUAAUGAGUUAGGGUGCGAAAGCGCCCGACCUCCAACCCUUUGUCGUUAAACAAAACCUGUUGCUUUGGCGGGACCGUCGCCCCCCUCCUCGGGGGGCGGCCCUCGGUCUUCGGCCCGGGGAGCGCCCGCCAGAGUCCAACCAUCAACUCUUGUCUUAACUGUACGUCUGAGUCAAUUGAUAAAAUCAAUCAAAACUUUCAACAACGGAUCUCUUGGUUCUG